This 370-nucleotide ribosomal RNA is filed under the name Arabidopsis thaliana (thale cress). The record is from RNAcentral. Lineage: Eukaryota; Viridiplantae; Streptophyta; Magnoliopsida; Brassicales; Brassicaceae.
GGUUUUUUUUCUGCUCCAUGUUUUGACCGAAAUGUACUAUUUUUGGCCUUUACGUGAUCUUUGUUAUAUUACGGGACACAAAAUUAUAUGUUCGGACAUUGUUUUCGAAUAUUUUUGCAUGCAUCAAAACUCUUAUAAGCAAGAUAGGGUAUUCCUACAUAGCUGGUGGGACCUACCGCAAAUGGAUCAUAAAGUCUUCAAAAAAGAAUAUAUAUAAUUGCAUUGCAUGUAGUAACGAAUGCGAUCCUACCAGCACUAAUGCACUUGAUCCUAUCAGAACACCGCAGUUAAGCGUGCUUGGGCUAGAGUAGUACUAGGAUGGGUGACCUUCCGGAAAGUCCUCGUGUUGCAUCCCUCUUUGUUUUCGGUU